Molecule: transfer RNA, 69 nt
Filed under: Marmota monax (woodchuck)
Lineage: Eukaryota; Metazoa; Chordata; Mammalia; Rodentia; Sciuridae
Rfam family: tRNA
About the family: Transfer RNA (tRNA) molecules are approximately 80 nucleotides in length. Their secondary structure includes four short double-helical elements and three loops (D, anti-codon, and T loops).
Source: Rfam by way of RNAcentral
GGAACUGUGGCUCAGUGGUAGAGUGCUUACCUCACAUGUGUGAGGCACUGGGCUCAAGUCUCAGCACCG